This 253-nucleotide ribosomal RNA is filed under the name uncultured bacterium. Its description in RNAcentral is "partial 16S ribosomal RNA". It matches the Rfam family "Bacterial small subunit ribosomal RNA", at positions 524 to 776 of the family's 1533-position model. The record is from RNAcentral.
UACGUAGGGUGCGAGCGUUAAUCGGAAUUACUGGGCGUAAAGCGUGCGCAGGCGGUUUUGUAAGCCAGAUGUGAAAUCCCCGGGCUUAACCUGGGAAUGGCAUUUGGGACUGCAAGGCUUGAGUGCGGCAGAGGAGACUAGAAUUCCUGGUGUAGCAGUGAAAUGCGUAGAUAUCAGGAGGAAUACCGAUGGCGAAGGCGGGUCUCUGGGCCGUUCCUGACGCUGAGACGCGAAAGCUAGGGGAGCGAACAGG